This 883-nucleotide ribosomal RNA is filed under the name uncultured bacterium. Its description in RNAcentral is "bacterial SSU rRNA". It matches the Rfam family "Bacterial small subunit ribosomal RNA", at positions 8 to 916 of the family's 1533-position model. The record is from RNAcentral.
AGAGUUUGAUCAUGGCUCAGGAUGAAUGUUGGCGGCGUGCCUAAAGUAUGCAAGUCGAACGGUCUUUGUGUUUUCGCAAGAAGGUAUAAAGAUAGUGGCGAACGGCUUAGUAACGCGUGGGAACUUACCCUCAAGUCGAGGACAACUAACCGAAAGGAUAGUUAAUCCUGGAUGUGGUCUGCGGAUCAAAGAUGCAAAUCGCUUGAGGAUAGGCCUGCGUCCUAUCAGGUAGUUGGUGGGGUAAACGCUCACCAAGCCUAUGACGGGUAGCUGGUCUGAGAGGAUGGUCAGCAAGAAUGGGACUGAGAUACGGCCCAUACUCCUACGGGAGGCAGCAAUUAGGAAUUUUGCGCAAUGGACGAAAGUCUGACGCAGCGACGCCGCGUGAAGGAUGAAGGUAUUCGUAUUGUAAACUUCUUUUAUGUGGGAACAAGUUCUGAGGGUACCACAUGAAUAAGGUGCUGCAAACUACGUGCCAGAAGCAUCGGUGAUACGUAGGCACCAAACAUUAUCCGGAAUUACUGGGCGUAAAGAGAUGCAUAGGCGUUUUGAUAAGUCUGGUGUGAAAGCCCAUGGCUCAACCAUGGAAUCGCAUUAGAAACUAUCAAAAUCGAGUAAGAUAGGGGGAAAUGGAACUUCUAGUGUAGCAGUGAAAUGCGUUGAUAUUAGAAGGAACACCAAUGGCGAAGGCAAUUUCCUGGAUCUUUACUGACGCUAAGGCUCGAAAGUGUGGGGAGCAAAACGGAUUAGAUACCCGUGUAGUCCACACUGUAAACAAUCUCUGCUAGUUGUCGGGGCGAUGUCCUUCGGUGCCGAAGCUAACGCAUUAAGUAUCCCGCCUGGGGAGUACGGUCGCAAGGCUGAAUACUAAAUGAAUUGACGG